ACGAACGCUGGCGGCGUGCUUAACACAUGCAAGUCGAGCGGUAAGGCCCUUUCGGGGGUACACGAGCGGCGAACGGGUGAGUAACACGUGGGUGACCCUGCCCUCAGCUCUGGGAUAAGCCUGGGAAACCGGGUCUAAUACUGGAUAUGACUCCAUGACGCAUGUUGUGGGGUGGAAAGCCUUGUGCGGCUGAGGAUGGGCCCGCGGCCUAUCAGCUUGUUGGUGGGGUGAUGGCCUACCAAGGCGACGACGGGUAGCCGGCCUGAGAGGCGACCGGCCACACUGGGACUGAGACACGGCCCAGACUCCUACGGGAGGCGAGCAGUGGGGAAUCUUGCGCAAUGGGCGAAAGCCUGACGCAGCGACGCCGCGUGAGGGAU
RNAcentral lists this ribosomal RNA (380 nucleotides) under uncultured bacterium. RNAcentral's name for it is "bacterial SSU rRNA". It matches the Rfam family "Bacterial small subunit ribosomal RNA", at positions 29 to 409 of the family's 1533-position model. The record is from RNAcentral.